CCCUUAGAUGUUCUGGGCUGCACGCGCGCUACACUGAUGCAUUCAACGAGUCUAAAACCUGCUCUGAUAGGGGUGGGUAAUCUUUUGAAUGUGCAUCGUGAUUGGGAUAGAUGAUUGAAAUUUUUCAUCUUCAACGAGGAAUGCCUAGUAAACGCAAGUCAUCAGCUUGCAUUGAUUACGUCCCUGCCCUUUGUACACACCGCCCGUCGCUCCUACCGAUUGAAUGAUCCGAUGAAUAUCAUGGAUUGAGGAUGCAAGUAGGUUCACCUAUCUUCAUCUUCGAGAAGUGAAGUAAAUCUUAUCAUUUAGAGGAAGGAGAAGUCGUAACA
RNAcentral lists this ribosomal RNA (329 nucleotides) under uncultured eukaryote. Its description in RNAcentral is "partial 18S ribosomal RNA". It matches the Rfam family "Eukaryotic small subunit ribosomal RNA", at positions 1470 to 1796 of the family's 1831-position model. The record is from RNAcentral.